RNAcentral lists this transfer RNA (74 nucleotides) under Caecilius quercus. Its description in RNAcentral is "tRNA-Asn". Lineage: Eukaryota; Metazoa; Arthropoda; Insecta; Psocodea; Caeciliusidae. The record is from RNAcentral.
UUAAUUAAAGCCAAAAAGAGGCUUAUCAUUGUUAAUGAUACCAUUGAAUUUAAUUCUAAUUAAACCCCCCCCCC